CUAUCGCAAGUGUACGGUUCGUAACAAGUAAUAAAGUGGAUUUUAAUAAGUCCGAAUAUCGUCCCUCAGAGAUUGAGUAGUUCAAUUCUAUAUAAUCUGGCUUUAACCGAAUCUAAUUGAGUGAAAAUAUGGUCUAAAUGCAAAAAGCCCUAAUUUCAAUUAAAAACCCUAAUUUCACUAAAAACCCUAAUUUCUAUCGAAAACCCUAAUUUCUCAAUUAGAAACCCUAAUUGAGAAAUUUCUCUAAUUUAAAUGACUCAAACACU
RNAcentral lists this long non-coding RNA (266 nucleotides) under Olea europaea (common olive). RNAcentral describes it as "long non-coding RNA (OEUR_LNC008110)". The record is from RNAcentral. Lineage: Eukaryota; Viridiplantae; Streptophyta; Magnoliopsida; Lamiales; Oleaceae.